This 253-nucleotide ribosomal RNA is filed under the name uncultured bacterium. Its description in RNAcentral is "partial 16S ribosomal RNA". It matches the Rfam family "Bacterial small subunit ribosomal RNA", at positions 524 to 776 of the family's 1533-position model. The record is from RNAcentral.
UACGGGGGGGGCAAGCGUUGUUCGGAAUUACUGGGCGUAAAGGGCUCGUAGGCGGCCAACUAAGUCAGACGUGAAAUCCCUCGGCUUAACCGGGGAACUGCGUCUGAUACUGGAUGGCUUGAGUUUGGGAGAGGGAUGCGGAAUUCCAGGUGUAGCGGUGAAAUGCGUAGAUAUCGAGAGGAACACCGGUGGCGAAGGCGGCAUCCUGGACCGAGAUUGACGCUGAUGCGCGAAAGCCAGGGGAGCAAACGGG